CCUACGGGUGGCUGCAGUGGGGAAUAUUGGACAAUGGGGGGAACCCUGAUCCAGCCAUGCCGCGUGUGUGAAGAAGGCCCUCGGGUUGUAAAGCACUUUCAGUCAGGAAGAACGCCUGGUGGUUAAUACCCAUCAGGAAAGACAUCACUCACAGAAGAAGCACCGGCUAACUCCGUGCCAGCAGCCGCGGUAAUACGGAGGGUGCGAGCGUUAAUCGGAAUUACUGGGCGUAAAGCGCGCGUAGGUGGCUUGAUAAGCCGGUUGUGAAAGCCCCGGGCUCAACCUGGGAACGGCAUCCGGAACUGUCAAGCUAGAGUGCAGGAGAGGAAGGUAGAAUUCCCGGUGUAGCGGUGAAAUGCGUAGAGAUCGGGAGGAAUACCAGUGGCGAAGGCGGCCUUCUGGACUGACACUGACACUGAGGUGCGAAAGCGUGGGUAGCAAACAGGAUUAGAUACCCGUGUAGUC
This 465-nucleotide ribosomal RNA is filed under the name Vreelandella stevensii. RNAcentral describes it as "partial 16S ribosomal RNA". It matches the Rfam family "Bacterial small subunit ribosomal RNA", at positions 338 to 795 of the family's 1533-position model. Lineage: Bacteria; Pseudomonadati; Pseudomonadota; Gammaproteobacteria; Oceanospirillales; Halomonadaceae. The record is from RNAcentral.